AAGUCCGACACCGAGACCACAACGAAAACUCUAUCAGUCAACAGCUGAGAGAAUCAUAAGUCUACAAGACAACUGCUCCAACAGCAACACAGAGCCAAACUCAGAGUAAACAAUGGAAGGCCUCCUGCAACAACUGGAAGUCUCAGAGUUAAAGAAUGUGAAGCUGUCGCUGGAGAACAAAGCUCUUAAGGUGCUGAUGAACAGCAAGAACAGCAAAUGGAAUAAGGACAAGACACGGAUGCAGGCUGGGAUUGCGUCAUUGGAGAGUAAAUUGAAGAAUGCCAAGGUGGUACAGAGAGGACUAGAGUCCAAGCUGAGGGAAAUGAACAAGAGGUUGAUCGUGAAGGACAAAGAUAUACAGUUCCUAAACAAUCCCCCCGAAGAGCCACAGGCUGUCAUUCAGAGGAUAACAGAGGAGUUACGUGAGUACAAGCAGAAGGUUGAGGAUGUCGACAGGGAAAAAGAUGAAGUAAUUGCCACUUUCCAAAGUGAAAAGACCGCGCUGGUCGAUAAGAAAGAUGAGCUCACGGAAAAACUGACGGCCAUGCAGACUCAGAUCCAUCAGCUUAAGUCUGACUGGGACCUUAAAGUCAACACUCUGGAGGAUCAGCUCAGGAGUGAGCAGGUGGAGCAAGAGACCUGCCUUAAAAAAAAUCAAGGAGCUGAAGAGUCUGGUUAAAGCCACGGAGAAGAAGUUGCUCAAUUUGCAGGAAGACUCACAAAUCAAAUCUCAGAAGAUGGAUGAGGAUAUCAAGUUCCUAAUUGUGAAGACUAUUAAGCUUCAGGAGCUGGCCCUCAUGUCAGACAGCGACAAGGCCAGAAGAAGAAAGGAUGAAAGAAAAGCUCAGAAGGAGGAAGAAAAGAGACUGAAGAAGGAGCUGAAAGAGAAGAAGGAGCAGGAGAAGAGAGAGAAAAAGCAAAGAGAGAAGGAGGCGAAGAAGGAGAAGAGAAAGACAACUUCUCACCUCCCUUCACCCUGUUAACCCCCUUCACCUCUCCCAUCCUUCCACGCCCCUAAUCCUGUCUCCCAUCCCCUCAUCCCAACUGCCCUCCUCCACUUCCCUACCCCCCCACACAAACUUGUAUGUAUCCUCACUUAAAAAAUAAAAACAAAAAAUAUUAAAAUUAUUGAAAAACGAUUCACACGUCAGCCUGAUGUCCAUUUUGUCAUUUACGGUUCCAUUAAGAGUUAAAUGGACAUCGAACGUCC
Molecule: RNA transcript, 1210 nt
Organism: Hippoglossus stenolepis (Pacific halibut)
Lineage: Eukaryota; Metazoa; Chordata; Actinopteri; Pleuronectiformes; Pleuronectidae
Gene name: glutamic acid-rich protein-like
Exons: 2
Source: RefSeq, a predicted model, not a curated record